Non-coding RNA from Oryza glumipatula, 207 nucleotides. The record is from Rfam. Lineage: Eukaryota; Viridiplantae; Streptophyta; Magnoliopsida; Poales; Poaceae.
AAUAAGUACAGUUUUGCACUAUUCAUAUUCAACGUUUGAUCGUUCGUCUUAUUUGAAAAAUUUUUAUGAUUAGUAUUUUUAUUGCUAUAGAUGAUAAAACAUGAAUAUUACUUUAUGUGUGACUAAAUAUUUUCAAUAUUUUCAUAAAUUUUUUAAAUAAGACGGACGGUCAAACGUUGGGCACGGAUAUCCACAGCUGCACUUAUU